AGGGUAAUAGCUCAGUGGUAGAGUAUAUGCUUAGCAUGCAUAAGGUCCUGGGUUUAAUUCCCAGUACCUCCA
RNAcentral lists this transfer RNA (72 nucleotides) under Camelus bactrianus (Bactrian camel). It matches the Rfam family "tRNA". From Rfam's summary of the family: Transfer RNA (tRNA) molecules are approximately 80 nucleotides in length. The record is from Rfam by way of RNAcentral. Lineage: Eukaryota; Metazoa; Chordata; Mammalia; Artiodactyla; Camelidae. RNAcentral also lists the same sequence under 2 other names.